UACAGAGGGUGCGAGCGUUAAUCGGAAUUACUGGGCGUAAAGCGUGCGUAGACGGUUACGUAAGUCGGAUGUGAAAUCCCCGGGCUCAACCUGGGAAUUGCAUUCGAGACUGCGCAGCUGGGGUGCGGAAGAGGGAAGCGGAAUUUCCGGUGUAGCGGUGAAAUGCGUAGAUAUCGGGAAGAACACCCGUGGCGAAGGCGGCUCUCUGGGACGGUACUGACGCUGAGACGCGAAAGCGUGGGGAGCGAACAGG
Molecule: ribosomal RNA, 253 nt
Filed under: uncultured bacterium
Lineage: Bacteria
Description: partial 16S ribosomal RNA
Rfam family: Bacterial small subunit ribosomal RNA
Source: RNAcentral